GACGAACGCUGGCGGCGUGCUUAACACAUGCAAGUCGAACGGAAAGGCCCGGCUUUUGUGGGGUGCUCGAGUGGCGAACGGGUGAGUAACACGUGAGUAACCUGCCCUUGACUUUGGGAUAACUUCAGGAAACUGGGGCUAAUACCGGAUAGGAGCUCCUGCUGCAUGGUGGGGGUUGGAAAGGUUCGGCGGUUGGGGAUGGACUCGCGGCUUAUCAGCUUGUUGGUGGGGUAGUGGCUUACCAAGGCUUUGACGGGUAGCCGGCCUGAGAGGGUGACCGGCCACAUUGGGACUGAGAUACGGCCCAGACUCCUACGGGAGGCAGCAGUGGGGAAUAUUGCACAAUGGGCGGAAGCCUGAUGCAGCAACGCCGCGUGCGGGAUGACGGCCUUCGGGUUGUAAACCGCUUUCGCCUGUGACGAAGCGUGAGUGACGGUAAUGGGUAAAGAAGCACCGGCUAACUACGUG
RNAcentral lists this ribosomal RNA (468 nucleotides) under uncultured bacterium. RNAcentral describes it as "partial 16S ribosomal RNA". It matches the Rfam family "Bacterial small subunit ribosomal RNA", at positions 28 to 507 of the family's 1533-position model. The record is from RNAcentral.